RNAcentral lists this ribosomal RNA (603 nucleotides) under uncultured bacterium. Its description in RNAcentral is "bacterial SSU rRNA". It matches the Rfam family "Bacterial small subunit ribosomal RNA", at positions 768 to 1371 of the family's 1533-position model. The record is from RNAcentral.
GCAAACAGGAUUAGAUACCCUGGUAGUCCACGCAGUAAACGAUGAAUGUUAGUCGUUGGUAUGCUAGACAUAUCAGUGAUGCAGUUAACACAUUAAACAUUCCGCCUGGGGAGUACGGUCGCAAGAUUAAAACUCAAAGGAAUAGACGGGGACCCGCACAAGUGGUGGAGCAUGUGGUUUAAUUCGAAGAUACGCGAAGAACCUUACCUAGCCUUGACAUAUUAUAGAAUUCAGUAGAGAUACAGAAGUGCCUUCGGGAGCUAUAUUACAGGUGCUGCACGGCUGUCGUCAGCUCGUGUCGUGAGAUGUUGGGUUAAGUCCCGCAACGAGCGCAACCCUCGUCACUAGUUACUAACGGUUAGGCCGAGGACUCUAGUGAGACUGCCUUCGUAAGGAGGAGGAAGGUGAGGACGACGUCAAGUCAUCAUGGCCCUUACGGCUAGGGCAACACACGUGCUACAAUGGUUAGGACAAUGAGAAGCAAUAUCGCGAGGUGGAGCAAAUCUAUAAACCUAAUCUCAGUUCGGAUUGUAGUCUGCAACUCGACUACAUGAAGCUGGAAUCACUAGUAAUCGUAGAUCAGCUAUGCUACGGUGAAUACGU